GAUGAAGAACGUAGUGAAAUGCGAUACGUAAUGUGAAUUGCAAAUUCAGUGAAUCAUCGAGUCUUUGAACGCACAUUGCGCCCCCUGGUAUUCCGGGGGGCAUGCCUGUCCGAGCGUCAUUGCUGCCCUCAAGCACGGCUUGUGUGUUGGGCCCCGUCCUCCGAUCCCGGGGGACGGGCCCGAAAGGCAGCGGCGGCACCGCGUCCGGUCCUCGAGCGUAUGGGGCUUUGUCACCCGCUCUGUAGGCCCGGCCGGCGCUUGCCGAUCAACCCAAAUUUUUAUCCAGGUUGACCUCGGAUCAGGUAGGGAUACCCGCUGAACUUAAGCAUAUCAAUAAGCGGAGG
This 344-nucleotide unclassified non-coding RNA is filed under the name soil metagenome. RNAcentral describes it as "partial contains 5.8S ribosomal RNA, internal transcribed spacer 2, and large subunit ribosomal RNA". The stretch from base 1 to 119 matches the Rfam family "5.8S ribosomal RNA", at positions 35 to 154 of the family's 154-position model. The record is from RNAcentral.